RNAcentral lists this unclassified non-coding RNA (400 nucleotides) under uncultured fungus. RNAcentral describes it as "sequence contains ITS1". The stretch from base 1 to 105 matches the Rfam family "5.8S ribosomal RNA", at positions 50 to 154 of the family's 154-position model. The record is from RNAcentral. Lineage: Eukaryota; Fungi.
AAAGUGCGAUAAGUCUUGUGAAUUGCAGAUUGUGAAUCAUCGAAUCUUUGAACGCAAAUGGCGCUGGCAGGUUCCAAUCCUGCUAGCAUGCCUGGCUGAGUGUCGGUGUUUUCAUCAUAUAUCCAAAAUAUCCUAACGGGUUUUUGGGUAUGUGCAGAUUGGGAACGCUCUCUCUUUUCUAUACAGGAAGAGAGAGACGGUCUUCAAGAGCAGCAUGUGUAGCGCUCCCUUUGUGACAAAGAAAGGGGCAAAGAAUACGUGUGGUGUGAAUUUUACAUGAAUUUGGACAGCGCGUAGAUUUUUUGCUUUUUCACUGUGUGAGAGAGAGAGCGUGAAAACCAAUACAACGAUUAGAUUUUAGACACAAAAAUCGACAUCAGCUCAGACAAGAGUACCCGCU